UUAAAAAGUGCUUAUUUUAAAAUAUGACAAUCUACUGGGUGUUUACAGGAGACGAGAGGCGCUGAUUGGGCCAUGGUAAAUCGACGCGUAAAUCCACCAAUCACAGCGUGCUUUUCUCGUGACGUAGGAACAUUUGAAAUUGACGAACAGCGCGAAUGGUAGUUGAAGAAAUUGGCGCAAAAUGUCCCUGGUCUGAUUGUCUUUUUGACGGAAAAAGCGAGUACGGACUCGUUCACAAACAGAGUCGCGGCAGAUACAGAGUUGUGAUGGAGGAUGUUUUACCCGCUCGGACAGUUUGUGGCCCAAACAACAGAACUGUCUCCUGGUCAACGGAACUCUGCCCUCAACAAUAAAUACUGGAAUAAUCCAGACAGCCUACUUAAAUAUGGACACUGAUGAUGCAACAAAAAGUCUUCAUUUACAACAAAGGUACUUUGGGGCUGACAGACAGCCAUUGUGAAGGACACAAUCUGGCAAAAAUUUACCUGCAGAAGUGAAUGGGAGGAUAUGGGCUCUGGGGAAAAACUCUACACACAGACGCUCUACACACAUAGACGGCUCAAUGCUGCUAACUGGCAGAGCAGCUGGAAAACUAAAAGACAAGAAAAGGAGAACAUUAAUACGGACGACUGUAUUAUUUUUCUUCAAGGACCAGGUCAAGCAAAGACAGUGUUGAGCACUCAGAGCAAACACAGCAGUCAGACGCAGGAUUACACACUGGACUUUAGAGUUCUUCAACAUGUGAUGUUGGACAUUUACUGUUUCUAAAGCCAAUAAUUUAUGUGGAUGCCAUUUAUAGACCUGUUAGAUUUUGUUUUAUUUUUGAGAUUAAUAAAAUUGUAUGUUUUAACAA
Long non-coding RNA from Megalobrama amblycephala (Wuchang bream), 853 nucleotides. RefSeq lists it as uncharacterized. The transcript is spliced from 4 exons. The record is from RefSeq and is a predicted model, not a curated record. NCBI's taxonomy places the organism in Eukaryota, Metazoa, Chordata, Actinopteri, Cypriniformes, Xenocyprididae.